Molecule: ribosomal RNA, 375 nt
Filed under: uncultured bacterium
Lineage: Bacteria
Description: bacterial SSU rRNA
Rfam family: Bacterial small subunit ribosomal RNA
Source: RNAcentral
GACGAACGCUGGCGGCGUGCUUAACACAUGCAAGUCGAGCGGUAAGGCCCUUUCGGGGGUACACGAGCGGCGAACGGGUGAGUAACACGUGGGUGACCUGCCCUCAGCUCUGGGAUAAGCCCGGGAAACUGGGUCUAAUACCGGAUAUGACUUCAUGACGCAUGUUGUGGAGUGGAAAGCCUUGUGCGGCUGAGGAUGGGCCCGCGGCCUAUCAGCUUGUUGGUGGGGNGAUGGCCUACCAAGGCGACGACGGGUAGCCGGCCUGAGAGGGCGACCGGCCACACUGGGACUGAGAUACGGCCCAGACUCCUACGGGAGGCAGCAGUGGGGAAUCUUGCGCAAUGGGCGAAAGCCUGACGCAGCGACGCCGCGUGA